UAUUUGAUAGUACCUUACCACUUGGAUAACCGUGGUAAUUCUAGAGCUAAUACAUGCUGAAAACCCCGACUUCGGAAGGGAUGUAUUUAUUAGAUUCAAAACCAAUGCCCUCUGGGCUCCUUGGUGAUUCAUAAUAACUUUUCGAAUCGCACGGCCUUGCGCCGGCGAUGGUUCAUUCAAAUUUCUUCCCUAUCAACUUUCGAUGUUUGGGUAUUGGCCAAACAUGGUUACAACGGGUAACGGAGGGUUAGGGCUCGACCCCGGAGAAGGAGCCUGAGAAACGGCUACUACAUCCAAGGAAGGCAGCAGGCGCGCAAAUUACCCAAUCCCGAUUCGGGGAGGUAGUGACAAUAAAUACUGAUACAGGGCUCUUUUGGGCCUUGUAAUUGGAAUGAGUACAAUUUAAAUCCCUUAACGAGGAACAAUUGGAGGGCAAGUCUGGUGCCAGCAGCCGCGGUAAUUCCAGCUCCAAUAGCGUAUAUUAAAGUUGUUGUGGUUAAAAAGCUCGUAGUUGAAUCUUGGGCCUGGCUGGCCGGUCUGCCUCACCGGCGUGUACUGGUCCGGCCGGGCCUUUCCUUCUGUGGAACCCCAUGCCCUUCAGUGGGGGUGGCGGGGAAACAGGACGUUUACUUUGAAAAAAUUAGAGUGCUCCAGGCAGGCCUAUGCUCGAAUACAUUAGCAUGGAAUAAUGAAAUAGGACGCGUGGUUCUAUUUUGUUGGUUUCUAGGACCGCCGUAAUGAUUAAUAGGGACAGUCGGGGGCAUCAGUAUUCAAUUGUCAGAGGUGAAAUUCUUAGAUUUAUUGAAGACUUACUACUGCGAAAGCAUUUGCCAAGGAUGUUUUCAUUAAUCAGGAACGAAAGUUAGGGGAUCGAAGACGAUCAGAUACCGUCGUAGUCUUAACCAUAAACUAUGCCGACUAGGGAUUGGACGAUGUUA
Molecule: ribosomal RNA, 938 nt
Filed under: Beauveria locustiphila
Lineage: Eukaryota; Fungi; Ascomycota; Sordariomycetes; Hypocreales; Cordycipitaceae
Description: SSU rRNA
Rfam family: Eukaryotic small subunit ribosomal RNA
Source: RNAcentral